Non-coding RNA from Mus musculus (house mouse), 73 nucleotides. The record is from Rfam. NCBI's taxonomy places the organism in Eukaryota, Metazoa, Chordata, Mammalia, Rodentia, Muridae.
GUUGAGAUGGCUCAGUGGGUAAGAGCACCAACUGUUCUUUCGGAGGUCCUGAGUUCAAAUCCCAGCAACGACA